RNAcentral lists this long non-coding RNA (670 nucleotides) under Mus pahari (shrew mouse). RNAcentral describes it as "lncRNA (MGP_PahariEiJ_G0004976.1)". The record is from RNAcentral. Lineage: Eukaryota; Metazoa; Chordata; Mammalia; Rodentia; Muridae.
GAGCUCUGUCUAUCUGCCAGGGCACCUGCCCCACACCAUUUACUGUGCCUCUUUGACAUUGCCAUCUGCCUUACUGCCGAGAUUUCCAUGUCGGGCAGGCUUGCCAGUGAAUUCCCCUCAUACUCCGUUCCGCUUGGCUGCCUGAAUUUACACUGCCUUUUGAUGAGUCUUUGCUGGAGUUUCAGUCACGCCCUAAUUGAUUGGUCUAGAUGUGAGGUUCUGGCCAUCCUCAUCUGCUCCCAUAGCUGAGCAAAAUGGGGUUGUCUGUGACAGCUCGAUGUGCCACAGAUUGGCACUGGGCAUCCACAUUGAUGCUCAUGGUCUCGACCUGGGUACCAACCAACUUAGAGCACAUCUCCUUGUCACUUUGGCCACACAGCAGACAGGUGAUGAUGGACACAGACCACAGCUGCACAUUGCCCUGAAGACUCCGAUUAUUAGUUUUUCUCAAAGAUGUUGCUUGGAUCUCAGGUUUUUUUUGCUAUUUGACGAGGAAACAAAUGAUCGCAGCAACGUAUACUAUGGUGAGGGAUAAAAACCUAACCUUUUAUGGGAGCAACAUGAGCCAGAAAUUUUAAUUUUUUAAGUGUGAAAAUGUCUUACUUCUGAAAUAGAAGAUAUGUUUGGAGAGAUGCUUUGUGGUUCUUGUGAUACCCUACUAAAACUCUAG